This 1881-nucleotide long non-coding RNA is filed under the name Zea mays. RNAcentral describes it as "long non-coding RNA (ZMAY_LNC004092)". The record is from RNAcentral. Lineage: Eukaryota; Viridiplantae; Streptophyta; Magnoliopsida; Poales; Poaceae.
UUGGAACUCACUAGCGCUCAAGACUAGAACUCACACCAGAAAGAAAAGUAGCUACGGAGACAAGCAAAUAUGGCGCCGAACGCCAGACGCACAGACGUCGUUUGUUUUUCUAUUGCUUUGCCGUCAUUUUCUCUAUUAGCAGUACAUGGAGUAUUUAUAGCUUGAGGACGUGAAGCAACGGACUGCACGCAGCCACUACUCCUGCUCACGAUCCGCACCACUCGGCCAACGCAUUGGACGCGGCAAACGCGCACGUCCUGACCAAGCCAACAACGGAUCACGGCAUCUCAGCAUGCAGCUUCACGCGUCGCACGAACCAAGCUGCUGACUGUGAUUACCGCACAACGCACGCCUUCAUACACGUGCAUGCUAACAAACUUGCACUCGCGCCGUGCACGCACACGAACGCGACACACGCUAACCACGGCAACAUGCAGACACACGCACACACAUCGACCUGACCAGCGCACACACACCCGGUGUCGAGUUUAUUCCUAACAAUCUCCCCCUAAACACGGCACGGCUUUCUGCACUCACAGGAGCGUCGCCUCCUCUUCGGCAUUGGCAAAUAGUGCCUCUUCCUUCUUCGGCUUGGGGCAGUCCCGUGCAAAGUGGCCGCGGUUGCCACAGUUGAAGCAUUUGCCGAUCGUCGACUUCUUCUUUUUUCGAGCUUUCCACUCGGCCUCCGUGAGGAGGAGCUGAUCGUCGCGCCGUUCACCACCGGCAUGAGUACGCCGCCGAGAACGCUCAUCGAACGCCUUGAGACGUCCGAGCGCCUCCUCGAACGGCAUCGUCUCGACGUCGCAGAACUGCUCGAUGCCCGCGACGACGGGGAAGAGCCGAUCUGGAACGGUGUCGAGGAGCUUCUUCACCAUGGCAGCGUCGUCGAGCGUCGCGCCAAGCCCGGCGUAACGCGCCGCCAUACCGCUGAUUUUGCCUGCGUAGUCGUCCAAUGCCUCCUCGUCCUCCAUGUACAGCUUGUCGAACUCCCCCUUGAGCGUGGCGAGGCGUGCCGUCUUGACCCGAUCCGCACCGACGAAACGAGUCUUGAGGCUCGCCCACACCUCCGCUGCUGUUUUCUUGGUGGAGACCUGCAUCAAGAUGUCAUCGGGCAGAGCUUGGAGAAGCUGUGCCCGCGCCGUCUUGUUCUUCACCGCAUUCACCUCGCCAUUAUCUGGUGGAGACACGGCCUCCCAGAGACCUUGCGCGUCGAGGAUCGACUCCACCUUGAUCGCCCACGCCGUGUAGCUCGCCGGCGACAGCACCGGGUAUGACAUGGAGACCGAACUCCCCCCGGCGCCGUGCGGAACCAUCGCCAUGGACUCUGACUCGAGGUAGUAGCGCAGGAUCUUGGGCAUAAAAUGGCUCUGAUACCAAAUGUUGGAACUCACUAGCGCUCAAGACUAGAACUCACACCAGAAAGAAAAGUAGCUACGGAGACAAGCAAAUAUGGCGCCGAACGCCAGACGCACAGACGUCGUUUGUUUUUCUAUUGCUUUGCCGUCAUUUUCUCUAUUAGCAGUACAUGGAGUAUUUAUAGCUGGAGGACGUGAAGCAACGGACUGCACGCAGCCACUACUCCUGCUCACGAUCCGCACCACUCGGCCAACGCAUUGGACGCGGCAAACGCGCACGUCCUGACCAAGCCAACAACGGAUCACGGCAUCUCAGCAUGCAGCUUCACGCGUCGCACGAACCAAGCUGCUGACUGUGAUUACCGCACAACGCACGCCUUCAUACACGUGCAUGCUAACAAACUUGCACUCGCGCCGUGCACGCACACGAACGCGACACACGCUAACCACGGCAACAUGCAGACACACGCACACACAUCGACCUGACCAGCGCACACACACCCGGUGUCGAGUUUAUUCCUAACAA